UGGGGAAUCUUAGACAAUGGGCGCAAGCCUGAUCUAGCCAUGCCGCGUGAGUGAUGAAGGCCUUAGGGUCGUAAAGCUCUUUCGCUGGGGAAGAUAAUGACGGUACCCAGUAAAGAAACCCCGGCUAACUCCGUGCCAGCAGCCGCGGUAAUACGGAGGGGGUUAGCGUUGUUCGGAAUUACUGGGCGUAAAGCGCGCGUAGGCGGAUCAGAAAGUAGGUGGUGAAAUCCCAGGGCUCAACCCUGGAAU
This 249-nucleotide ribosomal RNA is filed under the name uncultured Anaerospora sp. RNAcentral's name for it is "partial 16S ribosomal RNA". It matches the Rfam family "Bacterial small subunit ribosomal RNA", at positions 355 to 621 of the family's 1533-position model. Lineage: Bacteria; Bacillati; Bacillota; Negativicutes; Selenomonadales; Sporomusaceae. The record is from RNAcentral.